RNAcentral lists this ribosomal RNA (573 nucleotides) under uncultured bacterium. Its description in RNAcentral is "bacterial SSU rRNA". It matches the Rfam family "Bacterial small subunit ribosomal RNA", at positions 8 to 548 of the family's 1533-position model. The record is from RNAcentral.
AGAGUUUGAUCCUGGCUCAGGACGAACGCUGGCGGCGUGCCUAAUACAUGCAAGUCGAGCGAGCGGAACUAACAGAUUUACUUCGGUAAUGACGUUAGGAAAGCGAGCGGCGGAUGGGUGAGUAACACGUGGGGAACCUGCCCCAUAGUCUGGGAUACCACUUGGAAACAGGUGCUAAUACCGGAUAAGAAAGCAGAUCGCAUGAUCAGCUUUUAAAAGGCAGCGUAAGCUGUCGCUAUGGGAUGGCCCCGCGGUGCAUUAGCUAGUUGGUAAGGUAAAGGCUUACCAAGGCGAUGAUGCAUAGCCGAGUUGAGAGACUGAUCGGCCACAUUGGGACUGAGACACGGCCCAAACUCCUACGGGAGGCAGCAGUAGGGAAUCUUCCACAAUGGACGCAAGUCUGAUGGAGCAACGCCGCGUGAGUGAAGAAGGUUUUCGGAUCGUAAAGCUCUGUUGUUGGUGAAGAAGGAUAGAGGUAGUAACUGGCCUUUAUUUGACGGUAAUCAACCAGAAAGUCACGGCUAACUACGUGCCAGCAGCCGCGGUAAUACGUAGGUGGCAAGCGUUGUCCGG